AACGCACGAGACCUGCGGACCUGCGGAGGGAUCAUUACCGAGUUUACAACUCCCAAACCCCUGUGAACAUACCACUUGUUGCCUCGGCGGAUCAGCCCGCUCCCGGUAAAACGGGACGGCCCGCCAGAGGACCCCUAAACUCUGUUUCUCUAUAUGUAACUUCUGAGUAAAACCAUAAAUAAAUCAAAACUUUUAACAAUGGAUCUCU
RNAcentral lists this unclassified non-coding RNA (208 nucleotides) under soil metagenome. Its description in RNAcentral is "partial contains 5.8S ribosomal RNA, internal transcribed spacer 2, and large subunit ribosomal RNA". The record is from RNAcentral.